Molecule: ribosomal RNA, 253 nt
Filed under: uncultured bacterium
Lineage: Bacteria
Description: partial 16S ribosomal RNA
Rfam family: Bacterial small subunit ribosomal RNA
Source: RNAcentral
UACGUAGGGACCAAGCGUUGUUCGGAUUUACUGGGCGUAAAGGGCGCGUAGGCGGCAAUUCAAGUCAUCUGUGAAAUCUCCGGGCUUAACUCGGAACGGUCAGAUGAUACUGCUUUGCUAGAGUACAGAAGGGGCAAUCGGAAUUCUUGGUGUAGCGGUGAAAUGCGUAGAUAUCAAGAGGAACACCUGAGGUGAAGACGGGUUGCUGGGCUGAUACUGACGCUGAGGCGCGAAAGCGUGGGGAGCAAACAGG